RNAcentral lists this microRNA precursor (100 nucleotides) under Rhinopithecus bieti (black snub-nosed monkey). RNAcentral describes it as "miRNA (ENSRBIG00000017296.1)". Lineage: Eukaryota; Metazoa; Chordata; Mammalia; Primates; Cercopithecidae. The record is from RNAcentral.
UGAGGCAGGAGAAUUGCUUGAACCCAGGAGGUGGAGGCUGCAGUGAGCCGAGAUCAAGCCACUGCACUCCAGCCUGGGUGACAGAGCGAGACUCUAUCUC